RNAcentral lists this ribosomal RNA (253 nucleotides) under uncultured bacterium. Its description in RNAcentral is "partial 16S ribosomal RNA". It matches the Rfam family "Bacterial small subunit ribosomal RNA", at positions 524 to 776 of the family's 1533-position model. The record is from RNAcentral.
UACGUAGGGGGCUAGCGUUGUCCGGAUUUAUUGGGCGUAAAGAGCGUGUAGGCGGCCAGGUAGGUCUGGUGUGAAAACUCGAGGCUUAACCUCGAGAUGUCAUCGGAAACCAUCUGGCUAGAGUCCGGAAGAGGAGAGUGGAAUUCCUGGUGUAGCGGUGAAAUGCGUAGAUAUCUGGAGGAACACCGGUGGCGAAGGCGGCAUCCUGGACCGACAUUGACGCUGAGGCGCGAAAGCCAGGGGAGCGAACAGG